AAACGACUCUCGGCAACGGAUAUCUCGGCUCUCGCAUCGAUGAAGAACGUAGCGAAAUGCGAUACUUGGUGUGAAUUGCAGAAUCCCGUGAACCAUCGAGUCUUUGAACGCAAGUUGCGCCCGAAGCCACCAGGUCGAGGGCACGUCUGCCUGGGCGUCACACG
Molecule: ribosomal RNA, 164 nt
Filed under: Ficus vasculosa
Lineage: Eukaryota; Viridiplantae; Streptophyta; Magnoliopsida; Rosales; Moraceae
Description: 5.8S ribosomal RNA
Rfam family: 5.8S ribosomal RNA
About the family: 5.8S ribosomal RNA (5.8S rRNA) is a component of the large subunit of the eukaryotic ribosome. It is transcribed by RNA polymerase I as part of the 45S precursor that also contains 18S and 28S rRNA.
Source: RNAcentral